Molecule: ribosomal RNA, 344 nt
Filed under: Tetra simonia
Lineage: Eukaryota; Metazoa; Arthropoda; Arachnida; Trombidiformes; Eriophyidae
Description: partial 16S ribosomal RNA
Rfam family: Bacterial large subunit ribosomal RNA
Source: RNAcentral
GUAAUCAAAAGUUUAUUAAUUGUAAACCUGUAUGAAAGAAUAAAUCUUGGGUAACUAUCACUAUGGAGGACGUGAAUUUAAAUAGUAUUAAAAAAUAUACUAGAGAGCGAAAGACGAGAAGACCCUAAAAGCUGGUUUUUAAAAAUUAUUUGGGGAAAAUUUUUGGUGUCUUUCUCAUUAAGAUUUUGUAAAAGAACAAAAAAAUAAGCUACUUUAGGGAUAACAGAACAAUCCAUUUCAAAAGUUCUUAUAGAAAAAAGGGAUUGUGACCUCGAUGUUGGAUUCUUGAGUCUGGGAGGCCGCAGCAGGCCCCUGAGAUUAGACUGUUCGUUUUUUAAACCGAG